Molecule: ribosomal RNA, 367 nt
Filed under: uncultured Sediminibacillus sp.
Lineage: Bacteria; Bacillati; Bacillota; Bacilli; Caryophanales; Bacillaceae
Description: bacterial SSU rRNA
Rfam family: Bacterial small subunit ribosomal RNA
Source: RNAcentral
GUGCCAGCAGCGGCGGUAAUACGUAGGGGCAAGCGUUGUCCGGAAUUAUUGGGCGUAAAGCGCGCGCAGGCGGUUCCUUAAGUCUGAUGUGAAAUCUCGCGGCUCAACCGCGAGCGGUCAUUGGAAACUGGGGAACUUGAGUACAGAAGAGGAGAGUGGAAUUCCACGUGUAGCGGUGAAAUGCGUAGAUAUGUGGAGGAACACCAGUGGCGAAGGCGACUCUCUGGUCUGUAACUGACGCUGAGCGCGAAAGCGUGGGAGCGAACAGGAUUAGAUACCCUGGUAGUCCACGCCGUAAACGAUGAGUGCUAGGUGUUAGGGUUCCGCCCUUAGUGCUGCAGUUACGCAUUAAGCACUCCGCCUGGGA